Molecule: ribosomal RNA, 308 nt
Filed under: uncultured bacterium
Lineage: Bacteria
Description: partial 16S ribosomal RNA
Rfam family: Bacterial small subunit ribosomal RNA
Source: RNAcentral
GAGACAGCAGCAGCCGCGGUAAUACGGAGGGAGCUAGCGUUGUUCGGAAUUACUGGGCGUAAAGCGCACGUAGGCGGCUUUGUAAGUUAGAGGUGAAAGCCUGGAGCUCAACUCCAGAAUUGCCUUUAAGACUGCAUCGCUUGAAUCCAGGAGAGGUGAGUGGAAUUCCGAGUGUAGAGGUGAAAUUCGUAGAUAUUCGGAAGAACACCAGUGGCGAAGGCGGCUCACUGGACUGGUAUUGACGCUGAGGUGCGAAAGCGUGGGGGGCAUACAGGAUUAGAUACCCCUGUAGUCCCUGUCUCUUAUAC